GGCGAACGCUGGCGGCAGGCUUAACACAUGCAAGUCGAGCGGGCGUAGCAAUACGUCAGCGGCAGACGGGUGAGUAACACGUGGGAACGUACCUUUUGGUUCGGAACAACACAGGGAAACUUGUGCUAAAUACCGGAUAAAGCCCUUACGGGGAAAGAUUUAUCGCCAAAAGAUCGGCCCGCGUCUGAUUAGCUUUGUUGGUGAGGUAACGGCUCACCAAGGCGACGAUCAGUAGCUGGUCNGAGAGGAUGAUCAGCCACACCUGGGACUGAGACACGGCCCAGACUCCUACGGGAGGCAGCAGUGGGAAUAGUUGGGCAAUGGGCGAAAGCCUGAUCCAGCCAUGCCGCGUGAGUGAUGAA
RNAcentral lists this ribosomal RNA (362 nucleotides) under uncultured bacterium. RNAcentral describes it as "bacterial SSU rRNA". It matches the Rfam family "Bacterial small subunit ribosomal RNA", at positions 28 to 412 of the family's 1533-position model. The record is from RNAcentral.